RNAcentral lists this ribosomal RNA (416 nucleotides) under Salmonella enterica subsp. enterica serovar Oranienburg. RNAcentral's name for it is "partial 23S ribosomal RNA". It matches the Rfam family "Bacterial large subunit ribosomal RNA", at positions 103 to 559 of the family's 2925-position model. The record is from RNAcentral. Lineage: Bacteria; Pseudomonadati; Pseudomonadota; Gammaproteobacteria; Enterobacterales; Enterobacteriaceae. RNAcentral also lists the same sequence under 6 other names.
ACCGGCGAUACCCGAAUGGGGAAACCCAGUGUGACUCGUCACACUAUCAUUAACUGAAUCCAUAGGUUAAUGAGGCGAACCGGGGGAACUGAAACAUCUAAGUACCCCGAGGAAAAGAAAUCAACCGAGAUUCCCCCAGUAGCGGCGAGCGAACGGGGAGGAGCCCAGAGCCUGAAUCAGCAUGUGUGUUAGUGGAAGCGUCUGGAAAGGCGCGCGAUACAGGGUGACAGCCCCGUACACAAAAGCGCAUGUGCUGUGAGCUCGAUGAGUAGGGCGGGACACGUGGUAUCCUGUCUGAAUAUGGGGGGACCAUCCUCCAAGGCUAAAUACUCCUGACUGACCGAUAGUGAACCAGUACCGUGAGGGAAAGGCGAAAAGAACCCCGGCGAGGGGAGUGAAAAAGAACCUGAAACCGU